RNAcentral lists this ribosomal RNA (277 nucleotides) under Salmonella enterica subsp. enterica serovar Senftenberg. Its description in RNAcentral is "partial 16S ribosomal RNA". It matches the Rfam family "Bacterial small subunit ribosomal RNA", at positions 1 to 274 of the family's 1533-position model. The record is from RNAcentral. Lineage: Bacteria; Pseudomonadati; Pseudomonadota; Gammaproteobacteria; Enterobacterales; Enterobacteriaceae.
AAAUUGAAGAGUUUGAUCAUGGCUCAGAUUGAACGCUGGCGGCAGGCCUAACACAUGCAAGUCGAACGGUAACAGGAAGCAGCUUGCUGCUUCGCUGACGAGUGGCGGACGGGUGAGUAAUGUCUGGGAAACUGCCUGAUGGAGGGGGAUAACUACUGGAAAUGGUGGCUAAUACCGCAUAACGUCGCAAGACCAAAGAGGGGGACCUUCGGGCCUCUUGCCAUCAGAUGUGCCCAGAUGGGAUUAGCUUGUUGGUGAGGUAACGGCUCACCAAGGC